Molecule: transfer RNA, 70 nt
Filed under: Lopaphus albopunctatus
Lineage: Eukaryota; Metazoa; Arthropoda; Insecta; Phasmatodea; Lonchodidae
Description: tRNA-Val
Source: RNAcentral
CAGAAAUUAGUUUAUAGAAAAUUAUUCAUUUACAUUGAAUAGAGUUUUAGUGCGAUUCUUGAAUUUCUGA